Lycium ferocissimum is the source of this 2314-nucleotide long non-coding RNA. RefSeq lists it as uncharacterized. Lineage: Eukaryota; Viridiplantae; Streptophyta; Magnoliopsida; Solanales; Solanaceae. The record is from RefSeq and is a predicted model, not a curated record. The transcript has 5 exons.
CUACUAUAUUAGAAACGACAGUUUUAGGACGAACACAUGCUACAAGCUAUUGUACAAAAAGCAACAUGAGUUGCACUCUGUCCCAAAACCACGUGGACUGCAAUGUAUAUACCCGGAUUUCACAGCCUAUUCACAAGUUCAGACUUCAGAGUAUAUCAACUUUGUGCUGCGCUUACUCUCUUCUUCACUUUUUCCAGUUUGCCCUCUAUCUUUUACUGCUCUGCUCCUUUCGGUAAAUUUUGUUUAAUUUUUGUUCCUCCUCUUGCUUGAUGUAUUAGAAAAUGCUGCAUACACAUCAUCUGGUUUUUUUUUUCCCUUCAAAUUUCUCAACUGGAUCUCCAAGUUGUGUAUGCUUUAGUUUGUUCAAUUCUGGAAAUGAUUUGAGUUGUAAGGAGAUAGGUGCAAGUGUCGGUCCUGUACAAUAUGGAAAAGUUGCUACCCUCUUGCAUAUAGCAAUUUUACUUGGUUGCUCCUAACAAUGGAUGGAGUCUAGAUCUUGAGCUCUAGAUCACUUAGCAACCUAUCUUAGCACCUUUCUUCCGUUGCAUGUCAUGGUGAAAGUUUAGAGUUAUAUUUGCUCUUUUGAAUCAUGGUAACAUUGAGGGAGUUGAAAUGGAGUCUAUAAAGGUAUAAGAAUAAGCCGGCCAGCUACAAUGCCGGUCCAUUUAACUUGCUAAUUUUUUGCGUAUUCAAAUCGGGGAUUCUAAUAGGGAGUACCGAGAAUUCAAGCCCACUGCCCUUCAUUACCUACUAUGAGAAGAUUGGCAAAAUUGCCAAGGAUGAGACAGUCUUCUUAACAACUAUUCUGCUUCACAAUUGGAGUGGUAGAGUACACUUUUCCGUCAGGACAACAUACGUUCUCAAGUACUGUUAUGUGAAUACGAAAUGGAUUCUGCAUCAUUUAGGCCCUGAGCAAGUAUUUUUUGUUGCUUCCUGGUUUGAUUUCUCUCCCAACCACAUUCUAUUUGCUCAUGUUAUGGUACAAAUAUGUAUUCUAGGACAAUUCUUUGUGACUUGAGCUAACUAUUUUCAAUUUUUACGUGUUAUAUAUGACAUUCUCUAUCCAGUUUCUUUUGGUUAUUAAGCUUGACCUUUGUAAAGCUCUCACUUCUUGAAAUCUGUCUUUUGUAUUUCCAAGCUUGCCUUAACUGUUAGUCAAUCUCAUGACUGGACUUUGUAUAAUCCACUCGAGUGAGUAUCAAAUGUCAGUAAUAUGAUCCUUUGUAGUCGUUCUUUGUAUUAUCAAAGUGCCUUUCUGGAUGAAAUGCCAUAAGAGACAGAUACAUUGAGGGGAAAAGAUAGGAGAGAGCAGUUCUUGGAGUUUUUGCCAUGUUAUUGAAUCCAAAUAGUGUACAAAAGUGGUCUCGGAUAUCCAACUCUCUACAUUAGGUGGUUAUCACAUUCUAAUGGCUGAAGCUCCCAUUAUGCAUCAGAAGAAACAACAACAACUAAGGAAUUUCCUCUUUUCUCAUCUGUCCAAGCUGUAGGAUAAUGUUACGUGGUCUUACAUUUACAAGUGAAAGUAAAGUUUAUCUUCGGUAAAUAAAGAUUUAUUAUCUUAAGAGUCGAUAUUUAUCAUCUUUUGAUUCAAGUACCGUGUAUUUUGUGUUACUAAGCUAAUGCUGAAUAAUGGUGAAAUUAACAGUCGUUAGUUUCUCUUAUAUGAAUUUUCUGCAGCAGUACAUUUCAAGCGGAAUCAAAAAACAGUAAACGAGGGAGCAAGUUGCCAAAAAAGAAAAAGAAAAAGAAAAAUUAAAUGGAGAAAAAGAAGCAUAUCAUUAUCCUUGUAGGUGCUGCAGAAGAAGUGGAUCAACAGCAACUUCAUCUGGCUAGCAAAUCUUAUCCUAUGUUGCUUAUGGAAGGAAUCCUUUACAGGUAAUACAUCGAGAGACUUUGUUUCUAUUUUGGUGAAGCUUUACAAGAAAGGAUUGAUCGAGAUAUAGCAAGGUCCCCGGUUUUGAAAGCAAAUUAAGGUUUUUAAGCACUGUGGCAUUAGGUACCACACCAGAAACCUUAAACUGCCACUAAAUAAUUCCCUUCAGUCAAUAAUGCAAUUUGCAGGAGUUCAAUCAAUAAUUAAAAAUGUUGAAGGUGCAACCAAGAUCGAUUUGGUUAAUUGUAACAUCAGAACUGGAACGCAGAGUACGGGAUUGAUGCAAGCUCUUUCAGCACAACAGAACUGUCCAAUUGAGCUUCUGAAGAUAACUAUCAUAGGACACCAAGAAAAAGAGAAAAUCGAAAAAACAGGGGAGCGAUUAAAAAGUUUUGCCAAUUCGUUAAAAUCUGCCCUUUUCAUUUUAUAUAGUCUUUAUGU